AUUGAACGCUGGCGGCAUGCCUUACACAUGCAAGUCGAACGGCAGCACGGACUUCGGUCUGGUGGCGAGUGGCGAACGGGUGAGUAAUGCAUCGGAACGUGCCAUUGAGUGGGGGAUAACGUAGCGAAAGUUGCGCUAAUACCGCAUAUUCUGUGAGCAGGAAAGCAGGGGACCGCAAGGCCUUGCGCUCUUUGAGCGGCCGAUGUCAGAUUAGCUAGUUGGUGAGGUAAAGGCUUACCAAGGCGACGAUCUGUAGCGGGUCUGAGAGGAUGAUCCGCCACACUGGAACUGAGACACGGUCCAGACUCCUACGGGAGGCAGCAGUGGGGAAUUUUGGACAAUGGGGGGCAACCCUGAUCCAGCCAUGCCGCGUGAGUGAAGAAGGCCUCGG
RNAcentral lists this ribosomal RNA (391 nucleotides) under uncultured bacterium. RNAcentral describes it as "bacterial SSU rRNA". It matches the Rfam family "Bacterial small subunit ribosomal RNA", at positions 30 to 420 of the family's 1533-position model. The record is from RNAcentral.